AUGGUCUUCAACAACACCAAGGACGAUGCCGGUGGUCGAAAAGCGCUCCUACCUGACAUUUGCCAUGAUUUUCACGUUCUCUUCCAAACUGAAGUGGGUGUUGAUGUGAAGUUCGAGGUCGGUGGUGACAUAAUCGAUGCACACCGAUGUGUGCUUGCAGCCCGAUCUAAGGUCUUCAUGGCACAACUCUUUGGCCCCAUGAAAGAGACGUCUAGCGUCAUACAAAUCAAAGACAUGGAAGCAAAAGUGUUCGGGGCAUUGCUUAGCUUCAUCUACACGGACUCAUUCCCUAUGAUGUUGUAUGACAACGACAUGGAGACGGACAAAAUGCCAGGAGUUGUGAAACAAGAACAAAAAGAGAAAUCAGCUGAGGACAAAAUGUGA
Molecule: ribosomal RNA, 384 nt
Filed under: Triticum aestivum (bread wheat)
Lineage: Eukaryota; Viridiplantae; Streptophyta; Magnoliopsida; Poales; Poaceae
Description: partial small subunit ribosomal RNA
Source: RNAcentral